AGUAAAGCAGGGGAUCGUGCCCAUGUUGUGGGGGAUAACUACGCGAAAGCGUAGCUAAUACCGCAUAAGCCCUGAGGGGGAAAACGGGGGAUUCUUCGGAACCUCGUGCGAUUGGAGCGGCCGAUGUCGGAUUAGCUAGUAGGUGAGGUAAAGGCUCACCUAGGCGACGAUCCGUAGCGGGCCUGAGAGGAUGAUCCGCCACACUGGGACUGAGACACGGCCCAGACUCCUACGGGAGGCAGCAGUGGGGAAUUUUGGACAAUGGGCGCAAGCCUGAUCCAGCCAUGCCGCGUGAGUGAAGAAGGCCUUCGGGUUGUAAAGCUCUUUCGGCCGGGAAGAAAUCGGCGACUCUAACAUAGUCGCUGGA
RNAcentral lists this ribosomal RNA (367 nucleotides) under uncultured beta proteobacterium. RNAcentral's name for it is "bacterial SSU rRNA". It matches the Rfam family "Bacterial small subunit ribosomal RNA", at positions 109 to 472 of the family's 1533-position model. The record is from RNAcentral. Lineage: Bacteria; Pseudomonadati; Pseudomonadota; Betaproteobacteria.